GUUUCCAUUGCACAGCUUGAACCAAUUCCAAGUGGAAAUUUACCCCCAGGCUUUGAUCCAAGCACCUGCCGCAGUGUUUUCUUUAAUUUCGAGGAAAUGCAGGUACGUAGGAAAUAUACAUACACAAGUAACAGAACCACUUCUUCAAGAGGUUUUCGGGAGUACAGGCCUUGUUGAAAACUGCAAGCUUGUCAGAAAGGAGAAGUCAUCCUAUGGAUUUAUUCACUAUUUUGAUCGCAGAUCGGCUGCUAUGGCUAUUUUGUCACUUAAUGGGAGGCAUUUGUUUGGGCAGCCUAUCAAAGUAAAUUGGGCUUAUGCUAGUGGUCAAAGAGAGGACACAUCAGGUUUUGGAUCUGUUUUGAAUUAAUGGUUGAGUUGCCACU
Molecule: non-coding RNA, 383 nt
Organism: Cucurbita pepo subsp. pepo (vegetable marrow)
Lineage: Eukaryota; Viridiplantae; Streptophyta; Magnoliopsida; Cucurbitales; Cucurbitaceae
Source: RefSeq, a predicted model, not a curated record